AGUUCUCCAGAAGGCAUUUAUAGAAAGAGCUUUGAGGAAAAUGUGAUUGUGUUCCUUUUAUUUCUCUCUAUUUUAGCCUUAUUAAAAGGAGAAACUAUGCAUCUGAAAAGAAAAACGUGAAGAGGAGACCCCGAUGCCAUUACUUUGGAGCGCUGAGAGGAAGAGAGGAAGGAGUACAAUGAUGAACCACCUACAAUAAAUGCAUUGAACACCUCUGUUUGGUCAGCAUCAGAUGUUGGCAGCCCACAGUUGUGUCCCAAACCUUCCUCCAUUGCUGGGUACAAGAAGACGAUGUUAAAGUAGAAUUUCUGUGAAGCUGCUUACAAUUGAAGGAAAACCUCUUUCUCCUGACCUCCUGUGAUUUGAACACGGUGUACAUCGCCUGAGUCUCACUGUUUCAGACAGGGUCUCCCAAUUAUCCUCAGGUCAAAGCAGAAACCUUGUUCAGUCACCACAGCUCUCUCAGAGCAAAGAAAGUUCCAGUUAGAGCCAGAAGAAAUUGUUUCAAAUAACAUCUUCUUAUGGAUACAUCUUCUGCCGCUUCCUCAUUUUCUUAGAGCACAGACUGCCAACGAUAUAUAUAAAAAAAGAACUCUCCACAAAGCAUAAAUCACAGGCAGCCCUGCAAGUGGAGCAAACUGUUAAUGCAGUGUGAUAGAAGAAGAAUGUAACUGAUCCAUUUACUCAUUGCCCUACCCUGUCUUUAUGAAAGCUGAAUUAGCUCAAUGUUGACAAAGGAUUAAAAAACUUAGUAGUGACAUUCCUCGCAGUAAGCAAAAUCUCCCUCAUUCCACAUUUCACACUGAAGGCACAGUCUUCAAAAAUAUUCACUUCUUUGUUUCCCACUAUAGAAUGCAAACAUGGCUUUCUUCCAUGGUUUCCUAUGAAGCGAAAUGUGAGCACAAUGUCUCUAUCCCACGGAACAACUGGUACUAUUAUCUGCUCUGCUGAAAGCACUGUAUCACUAACGGACUGAAAAACAUAUUUAUUUUAUCAACCAUGACAAGCAACAGGAUUUUUUUCUUUGCUACAUUAUGGGUAUAUAACAAGAAGGAAAUUCAGCUCAAGAUCUUUAGAGAGAGCUCAGAUUUCUGCAAGUACAACACAAUUAUUAGCCAACAUUUACAAAUCACACAUAAACAGAGCACUGCUCUAGGCCAGAUCCUAAAACUUGAGACCUCAGCAAGACAAAACAAAUUGAGGACUCAGAGACAGCUGAAUCAACACCAGAUGGGUAUUUAAUUAGAUGGCUGAAGCUGUUCACAGCCCCGUGGGCUGCAGUGCUGCAGCCCUGCCUGUCCUGACCUCCCUCUGGCCGCCUCAGUAAGUGACCCUUUGGGAACAGACUGAUAGUCAACGCUAUUUUCCUUCUCCUUCCAGUAGUACCUGCUGGAGAAAAACGCCAUUCAUAUAGUUGGCAAGCUUUUCUAGCUAUAUGUGUUUUUCUAUGGCUACUAGUUACUACAAGAAUAGGUUUGAUGUGGAAGUCUUGUGGCAUAUAUCACCAGGCAAAGGUAUGGACUUAAAGGAUGGUUUGAGACAGUGUUACAAUGGAAAAUUCUGUUCAUUUUCCCUUUCCUCAAGUAGAUGUGAACUUUACUGGUAGGUGUACAGGUUACAAGAAAGCAAGCAUUUGUAAAAAUGUUCCACUGGAAUUAAUAAUAAUCCCAGCAACAAUAAUCAGUUAGAGAAUCAAGAGGAACAAAAAGAAUACAAAGGUUAACUUUCUUAUCACUGUCCUAAAAACCUUAGACAAUAUGUUUAGAAUAUGGAAAGUUGCACCAGUUUUCCUUUUUUCCAAGAUGCCUCCCUACCAUAAUGACUUUUUUUUUUUUAAUAAUUAGGUACAUGCACGAUGCAACUUGAAAACUUGCUCUUUUAAGCAGAUAUGUAGAUUGCUCACUUCUGUGUUACUUGGGAUUACCCUAACAUAUUAGAGGCCGCAUCAAGAAAUGAUCCUGAUACUGUACCAUUGCCUUCACUAAAGCAGGUGAUAAGACAUGGCCAUCUUGUAGAACUAACAGAUUACUUUAUUAAGCAGGAACUCAGCUCAGUGACAUGAAUGUAUGUUCAGAGACAGAUGUGAUAUAAAAAGGAGAAAGUGCAACACUGGUUAACUUCUUGCCAAGUCUAUAUUAGUUGUGUUUAUGUAUAAGGUCUGUACCAAACGUCAACAAAGUUUUUCUCUUGUUAUGUCUAAUUUACAAGACAAGAAAGUGUGUGUGCUGCUUCCCUGGGCUCUUUCUCAUAUAAUGGAAAUGAACAGUGUU
Molecule: long non-coding RNA, 2270 nt
Organism: Gallus gallus (chicken)
Lineage: Eukaryota; Metazoa; Chordata; Aves; Galliformes; Phasianidae
Source: Ensembl